UAGUCCACGCCGUAAACGAUGUCAACUAGUUGUUGGGAGCAUCUUGGCUCUUAGUAACGUAGCUAACGCGAUAAGUUGACCGCCUGGGGAGUACGGCCGCAAGGUUAAAACUCAAAGGAAUUGACGGGGUCCGCACAAGCGGUGGAGCAUGUGGUUUAAUUCGAUGCAACGCGAAGAACCUUACCAGGUCUUGACAUCCUGAAAACUUUCUAGAGAUAGAUUGGUGCCUUCGGGAAUUCAGUGACAGGUGCUGCAUGGCUGUCGUCAGCUCGUGUCGUGAGAUGUUGGGUUAAGUCCCAUAACGAGCGCAACCCCUAUUCUUAGUUGCCAGCGAGUAAUGUCGGGGACUCUAGGAAAACUGCCAGUGUAAGCUGUGAGGAAGGUGGGGAUGACGUCAAAUCAUCACGGGCCCUUACGUCCUGGGGCUACACACGUGCUACAAUGGGUCGGUACAGAGGGGCAGCUACCCAGUGAUGGGGAUGGCAAAUCUCUAAAGCCGGG
This 501-nucleotide ribosomal RNA is filed under the name uncultured bacterium. RNAcentral describes it as "bacterial SSU rRNA". It matches the Rfam family "Bacterial small subunit ribosomal RNA", at positions 791 to 1285 of the family's 1533-position model. The record is from RNAcentral.